Long non-coding RNA from Helianthus annuus (common sunflower), 2551 nucleotides. RefSeq lists it as uncharacterized. Lineage: Eukaryota; Viridiplantae; Streptophyta; Magnoliopsida; Asterales; Asteraceae. The transcript has 5 exons. The record is from RefSeq and is a predicted model, not a curated record.
ACCGUCCAUUUCUUUCAAUUUUUCACACGGAUCACAAUCUGGACGGCUGAUAUUCACUUCACACGGAUCGCCCUUUCCAUUCCCUCCUCUCUCACAUCUCACAUAACUUUAUCAGACUUUAUCCUCUCUUUCUCUCUCUUUCUCUCAGAUCUAGAUUAGAAGUGUUUGAACCAACGGUGGAGGAGACUAGGGUUUCGUCGUCCAUGAUGAAAGAUGUCUGGAGUGCUGAUGCUUUGAGAUGAAAUAAGAUGAUGAACAACCGGAGAUGAAGAACAAACAUCAAUGAAAUUGAAAACACACAGGGUUGAACACCGAUUUGAAGAAACCCUAACUGAAGGUUUCGUUCGGUCAUCUCUGUUGUGGUUUCUUUCAGCUUUCUUCCACAUCAACGAUUAGCAAACACAAAGAUGUGGUGGUAGCCGGCUAUUGUAGAUUUGAUUGAAGAGGCGGUGGACGCUGAGAUGGAACUUCAUUAAGUACAUAGAAGGGAAACAUGGCCAACCCAAUGGAAGGAAAUCCUGCAACUCUGUUGGACUUUUGUAGCUAAGCAAAUGGACCUACAUUUGAAUUUGAGGUCUUGAAACAAAAGCAUGCUUCAGUAUCAUACAAAAGCUUAGUUUAUCUUUAUUUAGUACAACACACUAUCAUAUGUUAUUAGUAUAGUGAUGCUAAUUUUGCAACUAAUAUAUCUUAUUUGGCGAACCUUACAUUUGAAAUUGCACCAUUGUUCAACAGGUCAACUGAAUGAAGUUUUAAUAAACAUAACCAAAGAUUUGUAUUUAAAUGCUUGCGACAAUCCUAAUAUCAUUUCCCUAUAUGGACAUGCCAGGUGGUUUGGGUAACAUGUCAGGUGGUUUGGCCUAUAAACAAUAUUUUGUUCAUUUUAAAAUUGUAUAAAUGAUUACAGUUCAAAAUUAUUUAUGAAAACUAGAUCAUUACAAAUUUAAAAUAAUAACAUGAACUUUUGUCUUAUAACAAUUUAGAAGGUUUUAUGCGUUUGGGCAUGUGUCGGGUAGCUUUUGCAUGCUUUGACCGGUUAAAUUUUAAGCUAAGUUUUUAGUCUAGCCCAUUUUAUCUAUCAGAUUUAGAACAUAAUUCAGUACCCAUUUAUUUUAAUGGCUUGAAAUUGCUAAACUCUGUUGACUGGACAUUAUCUUCAACGAUGCAUGUGAUAGCACCAUCCCAAUGGAAAAUAUACAGAUGUCACAAUGGAUUUCGCUUAUUAAAGGAGCAAAAGAUAAUAAUUCAAGUGAUAGGGAGUUGCUAGAACUUUUUGGAAUGUCGGUUUUAAAAGCAAGUGGGUAGACUAAAGCUUUUUGUGCACAAUCAAACAAAGAAGGUCAUGUUGAUGCUUGCAUCACCUAUGAUAGGGAUGUGUUUUAGUUCGGUGACAAAUGUAUCAUUAAGCGCCUCAAACCCAGCUCAUAGGUAAUGUCAUAACCAUCGUAUUAAUCAAGUUUUGUUUUGUUCUUGAUCUUUCUCACAUUUAAGAUGGACGGGUUGGGGUAAUGGGUUAAAACGGGCCCCUUUAAUGGAACUGUUGAAAUGGGCUGGGUUAGUAGACUUCUUUCCCCUUUUUGCUAAUUUCUUUCAUGAUCUUGCUCCACAUGUAAUAGAGGUGGUAAGAUGGGCGGGUUGGGUAAUGGGUCAAAAAGUUGUUUUACUAACCGAUGAAACUUGAAAGGGGCUGGUCAGGUUGGCUCUUUUUCUCUGUUAAAAGGGUGUUUUUACGUCAAUGGCCAAAACGGCUUAUAAGUCGGUUCAAAGACGAGUUCUAAAGAUUUUUGACGCUUUAAAACAUGCUUGAAGAUUAGUGUGUGUUUUUUUUUAAAUUUAUGUGGGACAGUUUGUUGCAGCUUGAAACUUAUAGAAAAGUAAAAGAUUUAACUUUACAAGCGGACCAUUCGGCCCUUUGAUGUCGCUUCAAAUUCCUGCUCAUAGGCAUAAUAUUUAUCUCACUGUAUUAACUUGUGUCUUCAAUCAACUGUAUAUCUUCUUUAUAAUAGUUAAUAAUAUAAAAAUCUGAACAGAGCUAUGUAAUGGCAAACGUUGGUAUUAGGGAGUAUAAUCAUCAUAUUAUGAGAUAUAGAUUACCAAACCAGUUCCCAUUUCAGCGUUCUUAAACUUAUGAAAGUCCUUGACGUCGACUAUUUAAAGUAUAUAAAGGCGACAGUCUGGUGCAUCUGGGCGAGUCGUAAUAAUGGGGUGUUCGAUCGGAAGAGGAGCUCGCUAGAUAGUGGUGGAGGUAAAAGUGUUUAGCUUCUUAUAGGUAAAACAUCGGGAAAGUGUUAUACUUCAUGAUUUGGUACCUUAUUAAACUCACAUCAAACUGCAGCCGCAGCGAGCGCAACCGUAGCGAGUAUAAUCCUUUACUGAUGGUUUGGGAAUGAGAGAACGAGAAUAGGAAUGCUAGAACGUGUUUGUUUGGGUGGAUGACGGCGUCAUUAUGAUCUUUUUUUUGGCUUUUUGCACUGGUUGUGGAUGUGUGAGAGUGUAACUCUUCAUGGUUCAAUUGUUAUUAAUGUUUGAAGUUCAUAUGUUCACAUGAAUG